GGGGAAUAUUGCGCAAUGGGGGAAACCCUGACGCAGCGACGCCGCGUGAGCGAAGAAGGCCUUAGGGUCGUAAAGCUCUGUUUUAAGGGACGAAUGUUCAGGAGAGUAACUGCUUUUGAAAUGACGGUACCUUAAGAGUAAGCCCCGGCUAACUACGUGCCAGCAGCCGCGGUAAGACGUAGGGGGCGAGCGUUGUCCGGAAUUACUGGGCGUAAAGAGCACGUAGGCGGGACCUUAAGUCAGGUGUGAAAGACCGUGGCUCAACCACGGGGUUGCACAUGAAACUGGGGUUCUUGAGGGCAGGAGAGGAAAGUGGAAUUCCUGGUGUAGCGGUGAAAUGCGUAGAAAUCAGGAGGAACACCGGUGGCGAAGGCGACUUUCUGGACUGACCCUGACGCUGAGGUGCGAAAGCGUGGGUAGCAAAC
Molecule: ribosomal RNA, 425 nt
Filed under: uncultured bacterium
Lineage: Bacteria
Description: bacterial SSU rRNA
Rfam family: Bacterial small subunit ribosomal RNA
Source: RNAcentral